GGAUGUUGCUCAGUGGUAGAGCUCUCACCUCACACUUUCGAGGCCCUGGGUUCAAUCCUCAGCACCA
RNAcentral lists this transfer RNA (67 nucleotides) under Marmota monax (woodchuck). RNAcentral describes it as "tRNA.Val". Lineage: Eukaryota; Metazoa; Chordata; Mammalia; Rodentia; Sciuridae. The record is from RNAcentral.